CCUACGGGUGGCAGCAGUGGGGGAUAUUGCACAAUGGGGGACACCCUGAUGCAGCAACGCCGCGUGUGGGAAGAAGGUGUUCGGGUUGUAAACCACUGUUCUUGGUGAAGAUAAUGCCGGUAACCAAGUAGAAAGCUCCGGCUAACUACGUGCCAGAAGCCGCAGUAAUACGUAGGGAGCAGGGGUUGUGCGGAUUUACUGGGUGUAAAGGGUGAGUAGGCGGUCUUGCAAGUCAGUCGUGAAAACCACAGGGUUAACCUGUGGACUGCGUUUGAAACUGUGGGGCUUGAGUGAAGUAGAGGUAUGAGGAAUUCCCGGUGUAGCGGUGAAAUGCGUAGAGAUCAGGAGGAACACCAGUGGAGAAGGCGGCCUACUGGGCUUUAACUGACGCUGAGGCACGAAAGCAUGGGUAGCAAACAGGAUUAGAUACCCUUGUAGUC
Molecule: ribosomal RNA, 440 nt
Filed under: uncultured bacterium
Lineage: Bacteria
Description: partial 16S ribosomal RNA
Rfam family: Bacterial small subunit ribosomal RNA
Source: RNAcentral